ACAAAGUUUUACUUCUGUUUUAAUUUGCUGUCACUUUUAAAAGAUUAUAAAGAAAUGAUUAAGUGUUGUAGUAGUUUGCGUGUAUCUCUUCAUAUUUGUAUCUGUACCUGUAAUUUGCUCGUUGGCUAGACCAUCAAUUUACCCGGCAUGAAAAACGGUUCAAUAAUCAGCCGAAAUUAUUGUAUUUGCAUAGCACCUACUAGACAUUUUAGUAACUGGCCCGCUACUUUAACUUCGACUCUGUCGGUUAAUGAACAAAACAUUUGUAAGAAAAUUAGAGGGUUGCUUUCACAAAGAACAGUAAAUAAUUUGAAAAAUAGAGGGAAGACACUGUUUGGAGUUAACCAAAUCCACCAGUAAAUAUCACACACCCUGUAUGUAAUUAACCCACAUGUGAAAGUAUGGAUGGGAAUCUGAAGAGCUAACAGUGACAAAUUGGUUAAGACUUUCGCGACCAGUAUGUGAACUAAUGCUGUUCUGAUUCGAGUCUUAAGGCCGUUGUGUGCUAAAUUUGCUUGCUAACGUUUCGCUAGCAUGAGUGGUUCUUCCAUCUCUGUUCCAUCCAUAGAUAAUAGGUUCCAUCUCCGAUGCUGGAUCUGCACCACACCCAACAGUAUAUAUUCAUA
Agrilus planipennis (emerald ash borer) is the source of this 626-nucleotide long non-coding RNA. RefSeq lists it as uncharacterized. Lineage: Eukaryota; Metazoa; Arthropoda; Insecta; Coleoptera; Buprestidae. The transcript has 3 exons. The record is from RefSeq and is a predicted model, not a curated record.